AUUGAACGCUGGCGGCAGGCCUAACACAUGCAAGUCGAACGGUAACAGGAAACAGCUUGCUGUUUCGCUGACGAGUGGCGGACGGGUGAGUAAUGUCUGGGAAACUGCCUGAUGGAGGGGGAUAACUACUGGAAACGGUAGCUAAUACCGCAUAACGUCGCAAGACCAAAGAGGGGGACCUUCGGGCCUCUUGCCAUCGGAUGUGCCCAGAUGGGAUUAGCUAGUAGGUGGGGUAACGGCUCACCUAGGCGACGAUCCCUAGCUGGUCUGAGAGGAUGACCAGCCACACUGGAACUGAGACACGGUCCAGACUCCUACGGGAGGCAGCAGUGGGGAAUAUUGCACAAUGGGCGCAAGCCUGAUGCAGCCAUGCCGCGUGUAUGAAGAAGGCCUUCGGGUUGUAAAGUACUUUCAGCGGGGAAGAAGGGAGUAAAGUUAAUACCUUUGCUCAUUGACGUUACCCGCAGAAGAAGCACCGGCUAACUCCGUG
RNAcentral lists this ribosomal RNA (490 nucleotides) under uncultured bacterium. RNAcentral describes it as "partial 16S ribosomal RNA". It matches the Rfam family "Bacterial small subunit ribosomal RNA", at positions 30 to 507 of the family's 1533-position model. The record is from RNAcentral.